This 253-nucleotide ribosomal RNA is filed under the name uncultured bacterium. RNAcentral's name for it is "partial 16S ribosomal RNA". It matches the Rfam family "Bacterial small subunit ribosomal RNA", at positions 524 to 776 of the family's 1533-position model. The record is from RNAcentral.
UACGUAGGGUGCGAGCGUUAAUCGGAAUUACUGGGCGUAAAGCGUGCGCAGGCGGUUCGCCGUGUCCGAUGUGAAAGCCCCGGGCUCAACCUGGGAACGGCAUUGGAAACUGGCGGGCUGGAGUAUGGCAGAGGGGGGUGGAAUUCCACGUGUAGCAGUGAAAUGCGUAGAGAUGUGGAGGAACACCGAUGGCGAAGGCAGCCCCCUGGGCCAAUACUGACGCUCAGGCACGAAAGCGUGGGGAGCAAACAGG